UACGGAGGAUGCAAGCGUUAUCCGGAAUGAUUGGGCGUAAAGCGUCCGCAGGUGGCAGUGCAAGUCUGCUGUCAAAGACUGGGGCUCAACUCUGGGCAGGCGGUGGAAACUGCACAGCUGGAGUGCGGUAGGGGCAGAGGGAAUUUCCGGUGGAGCGGUGAAAUGCGUAGAGAUCGGAAAGAACACCAACGGCGAAGGCACUCUGCUGGGCCGACACUGACACUGAGAGACGAGAGCUAGGGGAGCAAAUGGG
RNAcentral lists this ribosomal RNA (253 nucleotides) under uncultured prokaryote. RNAcentral's name for it is "partial 16S ribosomal RNA". It matches the Rfam family "Bacterial small subunit ribosomal RNA", at positions 524 to 776 of the family's 1533-position model. The record is from RNAcentral.